GACGAACGCUGGCGGCGUGCUUAACACAUGCAAGUCGAACGGAAAGGCCCUGCUUUUGUGGGGUGCUCGAGUGGCGAACGGGUGAGUAACACGUGAGUAACCUGCCCUUGACUUUGGGAUAACUUCAGGAAACUGGGGCUAAUACCGGAUAGGAGCUCCUGCUGAAUGGUGGGGGUUGGAAAGUUUCGGCGGUUGGGGAUGGACUCGCGGCUUAUCAGCUUGUUGGUGGGGUAGUGGCUUACCAAGGCUUUGACGGGUAGCCGGCCUGAGAGGGUGACCGGCCACAUUGGGACUGAGAUACGGCCCAGACGCCUGCGGGAGACAGCAGUGGGGAAUAUUGCACAAUGGGCGGAAGCCUGAUGCAGCAACGCCGCGUGCGGGAUGACGGCCUUCGGGUUGUAAGCCGCUUUCGCCUGUGACGAAGCGUGAGUGACGGUAAUGGGUAAAGAAGCACCGGCUAACUACGUG
RNAcentral lists this ribosomal RNA (468 nucleotides) under uncultured bacterium. RNAcentral's name for it is "partial 16S ribosomal RNA". It matches the Rfam family "Bacterial small subunit ribosomal RNA", at positions 28 to 507 of the family's 1533-position model. The record is from RNAcentral.